Molecule: long non-coding RNA, 3868 nt
Filed under: Heterocephalus glaber (naked mole-rat)
Lineage: Eukaryota; Metazoa; Chordata; Mammalia; Rodentia; Bathyergidae
Description: lncRNA (ENSHGLG00000041501.1)
Source: RNAcentral
UCCGCCUUCUUAAGGGCGCGCGGCCGGGCCGAGGCGCAGCUCGCGGACAGCUGUUCGCGUAAGACUCUGCUAACGGCCUUUGUGUUCCGUUCUUUUUCCUUUUUAUUUUUCAUUUUAAGUGGGGCAGCUGUAUUCAUUCUCUCCGAUCGCCCCCAUCCUUGCCUUCGGCGGGAUUCAGAAGUCAGUUUAUUUUACAGAUUUUAUCAUUACUGCAGGCGCGCGCGCGGGUUGUGUGUGUGUGGGGGGGGUUCCAUGUAAUUUAAUGUGGAACUUUUGAAACCUGCACACACGUGAACCGUAAGAGAAAGCUGCAGAGAUGCUGAGACAUUUACACACGCACGUGCACACACACUCCUCCGCGUCCGGGUCCCGGCCAGACCAUCGAAAGGUACGGCCCUUGCACCAGGGUCGUUUGGAAAUUGACAGAAAUCUCAUCAACAGGAUCAAUUUCUUAGGCAGUAAAAAAAAUAAUAACAGCCUUAAACCCGAGAGCCCUGGUGAACAGUUCCAUCAGGCCGCAGUCACAGCACGCGGAGAGACUCCCGUCGGGCGCGGUCCGCGCUCCGCCUGGCGCUCUGUGUGCGCUAAGUGUCCGAGCAGCCCCGCUGCCCCACGCCGGACUUCGCGAGCGACCUUAACGGUGGCGCAACGCAGCCUUCGGCCACCAGAGGCAACCGGCGUCAGCGGCUAGUCAAAAACUGGCGCUUUUUUCCUGCUUUCCGUGUAGAGACUAUCAACUCCAUCUGUCACAAAAUCAAGGCUAAAUCUCCCCAGAGGCGGAGGGAGCCGGGCUCCCGCGCGCUCAGAGCUGGGCUGGUUGCUCUCCCCCAAGGCCGAGGGGGUCUGGGAGGGCGGGAGUCAGAGCCGCAGCCACGGGGGUGUGUUGCUGCAGAAAGUGCCCCGUGCGUACGGAGGUGCCCAGCCUCGGGGCGCCAGGGCAGCGGGAACCCGGGCUCUGCGAGCUGCAGCGCAAAGCCGAACCUCGCAGAGCCAGGCUGAGAGGAAUUAAUUCUUGGGAACAGAGUUGAAGUGUGGCAGGCCCAUGUGGAAGGAGCUCCUAUUCACACAUGGAAGAGUUGUCCUUCCCACAAAGAAGACCUGGAGCCUUCCCCUGAACUCUAUCCUCUGUUGUUCACGAGGGCCAUCUCCAUAUCUUUGAGUUCUACUAAUUCUAAGAAAUGUCUUUCACAUCCACCUUUCCUGUCUUCUUACUUUCCUGGCUUUUUUGAAGUUUUUGUCAUUACUGAAUACUAGGUGUUCUCCAGCUGUUCCUCCAAACCAGAUGUCCUAAAGGAGAAAGCAUCUCAGAAGCACUUGAGAGUUUUUUUUCAAAAUAUAUAAGCUUGUACUAAUGCUGUUAUACUUGAAUUCUUCCCCAUGGACCAAAGAAUGUAUCAUUUGGGAAAAAUAUUUGUCUUAGUCACUUUCUUGUUGCUGGGACACAACACUUGACACCCACAAGUUAAAGGAGGAGAGGUUUAUUGUGGCUUACAGUUUGUGGAGGUCUCAGUCCAUAGUCACCUGGCUUCAAGGCAAGGUGACAUGGCAGAGGGCCAUCGCAGAGGAGAACAGUGGGCUUAUCCACUGAAAUGACAGAUGGAAAAGAUAAUGUAGUCCUUGGCCAGAGCCACCUUGAGAAUCGCUGUGCUAUAUAUACUUGCAAAAAGAAGUGUGAACACAGUUACUUCGUUUGGCUUUGGAGGUAUGUUAAGUUGUUAGGGGACCAAACCGUAAGGAUUCAGCAUGGUGUGAAGAUUAAGAAAAAUGUAAAAAGGCUUUAACUCUUCAGAGAAUGUUAUUAAUAACUCUGGGAUGCCAAAUGCCACACGGUCUUACCUUCAUGGGCUCACAGGCGUGCAGACAAAACAGCUGCCAGUACUGUCACGCCUGCUGUCCCAGGAGCAGAGCCCCCAGCUUUGGAAGUGGGAGAUUAGGGUCGCGGCUGGCUUUCAAGAUCUUAUAACACAGGGAAAUCCCCACAAAACCAGUGAGUGGUCCAGCUGGAAAAGAGGUAUCAGUGAAAUGGAGAUCGAAGUCCCACAGUGAGGUCACCGUAGAAGUUUCGAGGCAUCACACAAUUCUCCCCUCGGUGGCGUGCAGUUAGCCACCUAGAUUUCUAAGAAGAGGAAUUUUUCCAAGAGAAAAUUAUGUGGACAUCAGUCCUAGGCUUUUCAAUAACUAGAGCCGGUUCUAUGACGAGCUUUGGAGACGGUUUCCAAGCAAGCCCCAAUCUUGUUUCCAAACCUAUGAUCUCUCUCCUGGAAUUAAGAUGCAACUUUUAAAUUACCAUUUCAUAAAUCUGGGUAAACAGUUUUUUUUUUUUUUUGGAAGAAAACGACUGCCUAAAAAGUCUCUUUUCUCUUGCAGAGAGCUAAGUAAAGACAACAGUCAUAACAGUAACUAUCAACAACAGCGAAAAUACAUGAACAAGCUGGGAUGAAGUGUGUGUCUGGUUAAUACUUCUUAAACUGGGAGAACCAUUAGAAUAACAGAUCUUUAAUGCUGAAAAUUUAUGUCAUGAAAUGUUUUGGGAAAAGAAUUAUGAUCUUAUUGAUUGAAAAAGAUUACAAACCAUCUAAUUCUUUUUAAUGAAAUGUGUAUCCCAGGACUUUAUCAAACAUAUAAUUGGGGAGUUCACAUUCUUAUUUUUAAUCUGCUUUUGUAUUUACCUGCUCAUUUUUCACUGACUUUGGUUCAAUCUAAUCCAAGAAUUCCUUCUACAUGUGCCUGAAAAUGAGUUAUGAAUGAAACGAUUCCAUUUAACUAGGUUAAAACAGAAAACCAAAGAGUUAAUAUAAUGUAGAUUGUAGGCUUUAGUCUAUAAUAGUAUAUCAGUAGUGGUUAUCAGUUGUAACAAAUGCAGCUGGGCAUGGUGGAGCAUGCCUGUCAUCCCAGCCUUCAGGAGGCUGAGGCAGGAGAAUUGCUGACCUUGAACUCACAGCAAACCCUGUUUCAAGAAACAAAAAAUUGUUACAAAUGCAUCUCAUUAAUCAAAUACAAAAUAUACAUUAAGGAAACAGGGAGGACUAUGGGGUUAGGUUGGAAUACUCUGUACUUUCUAAUCUUUCAAUUUAGAGCUUUAUCAUUUAAAGUUUUCAGUUUUAAUAUUCCUUUUUUGCCCAUUAAAAAAUAAGGUAAAUCCAGGUGUGCUGUUUGAAACCAAAAGUUGGUCUCUCUGUGGUAUACAUCUCCCCAAGUGAUUAACUACAUAUAUUUACAUAGUCAUUUUUUGAAUUCACUUACCCACCCCAGAAAUAGUUGAGUGUCCACCUUGGGUCAAGCCUUCUGUCGCGCUUUGUUUUGAGCAGGAAAGUUUGCGAUAGGUAACUUUUUAUCAUAAGCUUUUACUUCAUGCGUAGACAUACAUUUAUUUACCAAAGCCAUUAACACAUUCUUUUCGGCUUCUGAUUUGUUUAAAUAAUUUAAAUUUAUUUAUUUCCGGAGGUCUUGUGUACAUAUAAAAAUAUAAGUGUCUUUAAAAAACAGCAGUAUAGUUGACAGUGUAUUUUGGAUACUGAUCCAUGUCACUUUAUAAAGAGCUGACAUAUUACUUGUUUGCUUAUCCUUUUUGGUGAGUGCACAGUAUUCCAUUUUAAUGUUUUAUAAGUGUGUUAGCUUUCCACGACAAAGUACCUGAGAAAACAGCUUAAAGGAAGGAAAGACUUAUUUUGGUUUAUGAUUUCAGUGCAUGGCUGGUUGUACCCAUUGCUUUUAGUCCUGCGGCAGGGAGGAAACAUCGUGGCAGAAUGGUAUGUCCAGGGAAAGCUCCUCGCCUCAUGAAAGCAGACAGAGAGAGAGAGAGAGAGGAAGAAGAGGAAGAUGAAGAAAGAGGAGGAAGGGGAGGAGGAGGGAGGGAGGGAGCACCAAC